This is a long non-coding RNA of Carassius auratus (goldfish), 434 nucleotides long. RefSeq lists it as uncharacterized. The transcript is spliced from 4 exons. The record is from RefSeq and is a predicted model, not a curated record. Lineage: Eukaryota; Metazoa; Chordata; Actinopteri; Cypriniformes; Cyprinidae.
CGCGCAUUCGAUAGCUCCCUAUGGGUAGCUCAGAGGAAUCAUUUCCUGAUUUGACUACUUACGUCUUAAAUACGGCUCUGGACUGGAGAGAGUGUCUGCUGGAGGAGGGCUGCCUAUGGAGUCACGGUUUUUUAUCAGGCGGUUCUUCAUGUUAUUUUACGAGAUCACUACGAUUGCUUUAAAAGAUUUUGAGAUUGUGAGGUAUGCAUGUGGUAAGACAAAAUUGGUGUUUGACAGGUUUUCCAAAUUUGUCAGUGUCCACUUCUCCUGCCACAACAACAUCAGUUUCUCCUCCAGUUUCUCCUCCAGUGCGCUCAACAUCAGUCUCUCCUCCACAAACUCUCUCCGUCCACCCAGUGCUUGUGAUUGUUCUGGGAGUUGUGCUCUUACUGCUCUUAGUGCCACUGCUUAUAUUGAUUCAGCAGAACAGAGUG